This 745-nucleotide long non-coding RNA is filed under the name Rattus norvegicus (Norway rat). RNAcentral's name for it is "long non-coding RNA NONRATT021704". Lineage: Eukaryota; Metazoa; Chordata; Mammalia; Rodentia; Muridae. The record is from RNAcentral.
AGCUCUGCCCAAUUCUUGGAGACCACACCUAUGCGGCUCGCGUGGGCAGCGUUCUGGGCCAGCGCUUUCUGUGGCCAGCAGAGACUACCAAGCCCCAGAGACAGUUUACAGGAUAGACAGAAAACUGACUGAGCUGAACAGCGCAAGGAGACAAUCAGAUAAGCCAGAAUGUGGGACAGUGCUACAGGCUGGCCAGCCUGGCCUCCAAAGGAUCAGGACGCCAAGAAGGAACCACUGGAGCCGUCCUAGAUCAAAGGAGAUCAGAGACACAAAGCUACCAGUGUGGCCACCCUGGGUACAAACUAGCCUCAAAAACAUCAGUAACAAAAGACGACUGGGGACAAAGGACGCCUGAAAAAUGCCUGGCUCAAUCUUCCCAGGCACCCAGCCAUUCAGUAUUUUGCUUGUUUAUCCUGAAACAAGGCUUCAUGUAGCCCAGGUUGGCCUCAAGCUCACUAUGUAGCCAAGGAUGACCUGAAACUCCUGAUCCUCCUGCUGCAGCAUCCUAAAUAUCGGGGUCACAGGCUUGUGUUGUCAUGCCUUGCGAAAAUUCUGAUCAAUUUUAAAUGGCAAGGACUUCAUCUUUCCCCUUUCCUCUGCCCUCUUCCGUGAUUACGCUGUUUGUUACGGGGUCUCGCUGUAAAGUGCCAGCUGGAUUGAGUUUGGCCACGUAAGCCAGGCUGGCUGUGAACUUGUGGGUUGCAGGUGUACGUGUGCACUUGCUUAAUUUCCUCCUUUACAUUUU